Molecule: ribosomal RNA, 560 nt
Filed under: Hanseniaspora opuntiae
Lineage: Eukaryota; Fungi; Ascomycota; Saccharomycetes; Saccharomycodales; Saccharomycodaceae
Description: partial large subunit ribosomal RNA
Rfam family: Eukaryotic large subunit ribosomal RNA
Source: RNAcentral
AACGGCGAGUGAAGCGGUAAAAGCUCAAAUUUGAAAUCUGGUACUUUCAGUGCCCGAGUUGUAAUUUGUAGAAUUUGUCUUUGAUUAGGUCCUUGUCUAUGUUCCUUGGAACAGGACGUCAUAGAGGGUGAGAAUCCCGUUUGGCGAGGAUACCUUUUCUCUGUAAGACUUUUUCGAAGAGUCGAGUUGUUUGGGAAUGCAGCUCAAAGUGGGUGGUAAAUUCCAUCUAAAGCUAAAUAUUGGCGAGAGACCGAUAGCGAACAAGUACAGUGAUGGAAAGAUGAAAAGAACUUUGAAAAGAGAGUGAAAAAGUACGUGAAAUUGUUGAAAGGGAAGGGCAUUUGAUCAGACAUGGUGUUUUUUGCAUGCACUCGCCUCUCGUGGGCUUGGGCCUCUCAAAAAUUUCACUGGGCCAACAUCAAUUCUGGCAGUAGGAUAAAUCAUUAAGAAUGUAGCUACCUCGGUAGUGUUAUAGCUUAUUGGAAUACUGCUAGCUGGGAUUGAGGACUGCGCUUCGGCAAGGAUGUUGGCAUAAUGGUUAAAUGCCGCCCGUCUUGAAA